RNAcentral lists this ribosomal RNA (253 nucleotides) under uncultured bacterium. Its description in RNAcentral is "partial 16S ribosomal RNA". It matches the Rfam family "Bacterial small subunit ribosomal RNA", at positions 524 to 776 of the family's 1533-position model. The record is from RNAcentral.
UACGUAGGGUGCGAGCGUUGUCCGGAAUUACUGGUCGUAACGAGCUCGUAGGUGGUUUGUCGCGUUGUUCGUGAAAACUCACAGCUUAACUGUGGGCGUGCGGGCGAUACGGGCAGACUGGAGUACUGCAGGGGAGACUGGAAUUCCUGGUGUAGCGGUGGAAUGCGCAGAUAUCAGGAGGAACACCGGUGGCGAAGGCGGGUCUCUGGGCAGUAACUGACGCUGAGGAGCGAAAGCGUGGGGAGCGAACAGG